CAUUAAUAUUUUUUCAAGACCUAAGCUGAAUAAACUCCACAGCUAUAAAAGAUCUCCUCUAGUGAAGUCUACAGGGAUUGCAGGCUGAAAAAAAAUGUAUUAAAAUGUUUCAUUCAUUCUCAAGUACCCAUGAUAUAAAUUAAUCAUUAAAGAGGUUGCACUCAUCAACCAAAUAUUUAUUGAAAAGAUGGCAUUUACUCAAAAG
Pelobates cultripes (western spadefoot toad) is the source of this 205-nucleotide non-coding RNA. Lineage: Eukaryota; Metazoa; Chordata; Amphibia; Anura; Pelobatidae. The record is from the annotation of a GenBank genome assembly.